UCAUGGCACAGGUUUGGAAAUAAUCCACUUUCACUCUGGUUUUCAGUGAUUUCACUUUCCUUGCUCCAGUGCAUGUUCGAGGACUUACCCCAGACCUGGCAGAACACCCUUUUCCUGUGUGUUUCAUCGUAACUGUGAUUAAGGGGGUAGUCCUCAGCACUCAGACGUUUUACAUUCAAAUGCCAGUUUAGGAUUCCACAGAUUUUCAAGUGUACACUUGCAGUCAGCCGUGAGGACGACGUCAGUUCUCCAUCCUACACUGAGAGCUCAGCAGGAUUUGCCAUUUGGUCAUUUCCUGUAGCACAGGCCAUCGUGCCAGUCCGGGUGUGAAAAAGGCGUGUGCUCCAAAUCCUUUUCUUAGGACCGAGCCGCAGAGACAUACCACCGACUAGAUUCUCCUGUUACAGCUCUUAAUCCGGUGAACGCUGUGUCGGGCUCCCCUUCCCCGGGUCGGGUUGGAGCCCACCUGUGGCUUGUCGGUGGGACUGCAUUUAGAGCUGGUGCUGAGGGCUCAUUUCCACGGACUGUGAGACAGAAAGAUAAGGAAAGAGGAACUUCCUGUAGAAAAGCCCCCCAAACAAAACAAACCUUAAUUGACUAAAUAAAGAUAAUGCAUGCUCAACUUAGGAUAAGCACUACGGCAAAGGAUAUGAAAUCUACCAAGCUUGCAAGACCAGUUGAAGCUGACUCAGAAACCCUAACACACAGCUGAUUGCCAGCGGGCUUCUUGUUGCCCUGGUUAGAGUCAGGCAUCCGCUUCUUCGCUGGCGCCCAACACAAACGUGCUGGGCUCACAGGUGAUUGAGAUGCACAGAGGAGGGC
This is a non-coding RNA of Kogia breviceps (pygmy sperm whale), 822 nucleotides long. NCBI's taxonomy places the organism in Eukaryota, Metazoa, Chordata, Mammalia, Artiodactyla, Physeteridae. The record is from RefSeq and is a predicted model, not a curated record.